UCGCUCAUACUUUUUGAAAGCAAAAGCUCCAAAGUUCGCACCCAUUCGGGAUGCUCUGUACCUACCGUUUAAAAGUCGUAACAAGGUAGCUGCCAACUAGCAAUUGGGUUGCGAUUCCUUUAAUCGGUUCGUUGGGGCAACUCAGCGCCGAUCAUUAUGAUCCACCCAGCGGCUCUCGUAGGGAAACCAAAGUGUUUGGGUUCCGGGGGAAGUAUGAUUGCAAAGUUGAAACUUAAAGGAAUUGACGGAAGGGCACCACCAGGAGUGGAGCCUGCGGCUUAAUUUGACUCAACACGGGGAAACUUACUAGAUUAAAACUCUGGAAUGAUUGACAGAUUGAUAGCUCUUUCUUGAUUCAGAGGAUGGUGGUGCAUGGCCGUUCUUGAUUCGUAUUCCGAAACGUCUGCUUAAUUGCGAUAACGAGUGAGACCUCACCCAACUAACUAGUCGUUUAGUGCGCUAGGGACGCAAAAGUUCCGGUUGAAUCGGUAAGGAGAAGUGUGGUAACAUAACUGGCCUUACUCUCAGCUUGGGAUGUCCUCUGCUCGCUUGCGGACUUCUUAGAGGGAUAAACGGUGUUUUAGCCGUAAGAAACGAGGCAAUAACAGGUCUGUGAUGCCCUUAGAUAUUCUAGGCCGCACGCGUGCUACAAUGGCGUGUGCAGAGAGCUUGUUCGAGGUUCGUCUUGAGAGAACUAGUUGUUUGGUUGUAGAUAUGGGGUAACCUGUGUUUAUAAUCGGCAAAAAAGUGACUCAGGUAGCGAGCCGAGAGAAACCGCAGCCGAAAGGUUGUGGCAAUCAGAAAUACACGCCGUGAUUUGGGAUUGGGGAUUGCAAUUGUUGCCCAUGAACGAGGAAUUCCCAGUAAGCGCAAUUCAUCAUAUUGCGUUGAUUACGUCCCUGCCCUUUGUACUCUGCGUGAGAGGUGAAAUCUAAAAGCAAAAGCAUUUGUAAUGUAUUCGCUUCGCUCAUACUUUUGAAAAGCAAAAGCUCCAAA
Molecule: ribosomal RNA, 996 nt
Filed under: Aculus corynocarpi
Lineage: Eukaryota; Metazoa; Arthropoda; Arachnida; Trombidiformes; Eriophyidae
Description: partial small subunit ribosomal RNA
Rfam family: Eukaryotic small subunit ribosomal RNA
Source: RNAcentral